GGACCAUAGCUCAGUAGGUUGAGCAUCUGUUUUGCAUGCAGAAGGUCCCAGGUUCAAUCCCCAAUGGUAUCU
Podarcis lilfordi (Lilford's wall lizard) is the source of this 72-nucleotide non-coding RNA. NCBI's taxonomy places the organism in Eukaryota, Metazoa, Chordata, Lepidosauria, Squamata, Lacertidae. The record is from the annotation of a GenBank genome assembly.